UUAUAACUACCCUAGUUAUCCCACAAAGCCUCUCCAUGAAGUCCUGGUGGAGAUGACAGAUGGCGGCGUGGACUACGCCCUGGAGUGUGUUGGAAGCCCGAUGGUCAUGAGAGAGAGAGAAGGAGCAGAUGGAUCCACGUCCUGAAAGUCCUUCUGGGGCGCACUUGAAGUGGACCUACUUUGGGGGCCAGAAGAGCGUAGUGGAGGUGCCUGAGUUGGUGGACGAGUAUGUGAACCAGAAGCUGAAGAUGGACGAGUUCAUGAGCCACAACCUCUCUCUGGAAAAGGUUUUGACGGAAACAGGUUUAAAUAUGAAGCCUUUGAUUCAGAUUCAAGCAGCAUCUGCAGACAGAAUCCCACUGGAUCCAAGAUGAUCCGGUUCUGGAACAGCUUCUGCUGAAGGUUUUCGGCAGCAUUGGCCUGACUGUUUCAUGCUGUUGUCGAUGUGGGUCAUCUUUUAAAGAAGGAGCUGAUGCUGCGUCAGUUUAAAGAACAACUUGUGUGGCUGAGGCCUUCCUGAACCUCAAACCCUCCAGAGGAACUCAUCGUCGUCUCCUUGCCAAACCAACACAGGUUGUGGUCAUGGUCCCGGAGCCUGUGACGUCCUUUCUGCUGGAACGCGAUCAGAAAACAAAGAAGAAGACUCGACCACACAGCCCUUCACACGUGCACAGUCACGAGGAGGUCCGUGCACGACAGCUCUAAGCUUUUGUUGUCUUUAGUCUGACAGUAAAGCAGUAAUUGAGAGAUUAGCUGAGGCUCUUUUGGGGACACUCCCUUGUUUGGUCUCAGGCACACCGUUCAGCCUGAGCAGGAAGGGCCCCCCCUCACAGAAUUAGCAGUCUGGUUCUUGGCUGGGUCCAGAAAUGACCUGCAGUGACCUGUCGCUACCUUCCGAGCCAACACCUUUGUUCUUAGCAACACCAAGACAUAAAUUCCAUUGGUUUAGAUCUAAGAAAAGUGCCCUUUUAUUCUGAGCGUGGUGCCCCCUGGAGAGCAGAUGGGAACAGUUGACUGUCUGGAUCAUGGAGGACUUUUUGAAGAAGAAUUAUGCUGUUCUAUCAGAGAACCUUAUUAAAAACAUUAGCAGUUGGCUUUUAUGCUCAGGUAAAAAAAAAGGAUAUUUUCUUCCUGUUUACCUCCCAGAUUACAUCAUCAUCAACCUUGCUACUGAGAAACACAAACAGUGUCUGCACUUCAGUACAUGUUCAUGUUCUUCUCUGCAUGAGGAGGAAAACAUCACUGAUGUCCAGCUCUGUUGGCUGUUUGAAGAGGACGUUUCUGCUGGUACUGGAAACGGGCCACAGAACCCCCCAAACUCCAAAUAAAACAUUAAAAU
Oryzias latipes (Japanese medaka) is the source of this 1339-nucleotide long non-coding RNA. RefSeq lists it as uncharacterized. The record is from RefSeq and is a predicted model, not a curated record. Lineage: Eukaryota; Metazoa; Chordata; Actinopteri; Beloniformes; Adrianichthyidae.